AAAUUGCGUUACCAUGGUGAUCCGCAGACUUUUGUGAAACCAUUGGAUUCCUAAUGCACCCGGCGCCAGUCAUGUUUUUUACAUCACCGGCAUGGCUUCAGCAAUCACUAAUUUUACACCAUUCAUUUGUGAUGGAUUAUGCUCUUCUGAGCGUUGAUGUUCUUAUUCGUUUUUAUGUGACAAGUCGCCUUUUCAGAUGCUACUUAUUGUUCAGUAUACGGGGUUGUCUUUUUAUACUGUAUCAUGCGGUGCUUCAUAAUAAUUGGUUGGACUAUCACUACCUGUUUUAAUAAUUGGGUGUUGCUGUUGCCAAGUUUACCCGCUGAACUUAA
RNAcentral lists this unclassified non-coding RNA (332 nucleotides) under uncultured fungus. RNAcentral's name for it is "sequence contains ITS1". The record is from RNAcentral. Lineage: Eukaryota; Fungi.